GAUGAACGCUAGCUACAGGCUUAACACAUGCAAGUCGAGGGGCAGCAUGAUUGAAGCUUGCUUCAAUCGAUGGCGACCGGCGCACGGGUGAGUAACACGUAUCCAACCUGCCGAUAACUCGGGGAUAGCCUUUCGAAAGAAAGAUUAAUACCCGAUAGUAUAGUAUUUCCGCAUGGUUUCACUAUUAAAGAACUUCGGUUAUCGAUGGGGAUGCGUUCCAUUAGAUAGUUGGCGGGGUAACGGCCCACCAAGUCAACGAUGGAUAGGGGUUCUGAGAGGAAGGUCCCCCACAUUGGAACUGAGACACGGUCCAAACUCCUACGGGAGGCAGCAGUGAGGAAUAUUGGUCAAUGGACGAGAGUCUGAACCAGCCAAGUAGCGUGAAGGAUGACUGCCCUAUGGGUUGUAAACUUCUUUUAUACGGGAAUAAAGUGGAGUAUGCAUACUCCUCUGUAUGUACCGUAUGAAUAAGGAUCGGCUAACUCCGUG
This 489-nucleotide ribosomal RNA is filed under the name uncultured bacterium. RNAcentral's name for it is "partial 16S ribosomal RNA". It matches the Rfam family "Bacterial small subunit ribosomal RNA", at positions 28 to 507 of the family's 1533-position model. The record is from RNAcentral.